Panthera uncia (snow leopard) is the source of this 1052-nucleotide long non-coding RNA. RefSeq lists it as uncharacterized. Lineage: Eukaryota; Metazoa; Chordata; Mammalia; Carnivora; Felidae. The record is from RefSeq and is a predicted model, not a curated record. The transcript has 3 exons.
CUUCUGUUAUUGAUUUUUAAUAUCAAUCCAUUGAUGUUGGAGAACAUACAUUGUCUGAUUUCGAUUAUUUUACAUUUAUUGCAGCUUGUUAUAUGGUCUAACAUAUGGCCUAUCCUGGAGAAUUAUUCCACGAGCACUUGGGAAGAAUGUGAAUUCUGUUGCUGUUAGGUAGCUGUGAUGUUAAACAAUUACCACUCAUUGUUUUGGACAAUCCCUUGGGGAUAGAGCCCUCUUCACCGAGCAAACCCUAGUUCAGACUUGUACUAAAACAAUUUUGUGGAUUUCAAAGAUUAAUGGCAAAAUCAACAAAAGUAGAGAAAAAUUCAGCCUACAAGAGGUUCCAGAGAGUUCCCUAGCUUCUUCCAGCAUGUGAGGAUACAAUCGGAAGUCUGAGACAUGGAAGACGGUCCUCACCAACCCUGCUGGCACUCUGAGCUCAGACUUCCAUCCUCCAGAACUGUGAGAAAUAAAUUUCUGUUGUUUAUAAGCCACCCAAUCUGUGAUAUUUUGUUAGAGCAGACAAAUGUACUAUGACAAGGACAAUGCUGAAUGGUGUGUUUGUGUGUGCUUAAAAAGGGUUACAAAGAAGAGACUUAAAGAAGGACCCACUGUUUUGGGCCAAAUUCCUUUUAUCUUCAAAAAAACAACAAAAAAAGUAAAAAAACAAAAAAGUAUUUUUCUUGGUUCUUUUUCCAAAGUGUGGCUUUCAUGUGUACUUUUUAAUAGAAAGGAUUCUUUGGCAAUGAAAAAGCUAGUCUUAAUUGACUUCCCACUCUCCCCAGCAGCAAGUGACUUGCUGGUGACUAGGGCUGUAAAGGAACAGCUCCUCCUGGCAAGCACGGUCUUCCCCCCCCAUCCCCACCCCACACACUAAAAUGUCAUAUAUUCACAUAGUGCAAAAUUUUCAAAAAAUGUAAAAAGGCAUAUAGUGAAAACUUGUCCUCUUGUCCUGUCCACCGUUUACACAGCUCUCUUUUCCACACACACACACAGCCAUAAUUAAUUCUUAUAUAUUCUUGACAGAUUAUUCUUAACAGAUUUCUUUAUGAAUU